Molecule: non-coding RNA, 71 nt
Organism: Podarcis lilfordi (Lilford's wall lizard)
Lineage: Eukaryota; Metazoa; Chordata; Lepidosauria; Squamata; Lacertidae
Source: the annotation of a GenBank genome assembly
GGGCCGUAGCUCAGUGGAAGAGCAUCCGCCCUGGAAGCAGAAGGUCUCAGGUUCAAUCCCCGGGAUCUCCA